RNAcentral lists this ribosomal RNA (497 nucleotides) under uncultured bacterium. RNAcentral describes it as "bacterial SSU rRNA". It matches the Rfam family "Bacterial small subunit ribosomal RNA", at positions 1 to 527 of the family's 1533-position model. The record is from RNAcentral.
UAGAGUUUGAUCAUGGCUCAGGGUGAACGCUGGCGGCGUGCCUAACACAUGCAAGUCGAGCGGUGCAGCUGGAGGCUUUUGCUGAAGGCUGCAUAGCGGCGGACGGGUGCGUAACGCGUAGGAACGUGCCCCCUGGAGGCGGAUAGCCGCGGGAAACUGCGGGUAAACCGCCAUAGACUCGGGAGAGUAAAGGCCGAAAGGCGCCAGGGGAGCGGCCUGCGUCCCAUCAGGUAGUUGGUAGGGUAACGGCCUACCAAGCCGACGACGGGUAGCCGGUCUGAGAGGAUGGCCGGCCACAAGGGCACUGAGACACGGGCCCUACUCCUACGGGAGGCAGCAGUGGGGGAUAUUGGACAAUGGGCGAAAGCCUGAUCCAGCGACGCCGCGUGGAGGAUGAAGCCCUUCGGGGUGUAAACUCCUUUUGUCGGGGAAAAAGUUCUGAUGGUACCCGACGAAUAAGCCCCGGCUAACUACGUGCCAGCCGCCGCGGUAAUACA